Molecule: transfer RNA, 76 nt
Filed under: Pedosphaera sp.
Lineage: Bacteria; Pseudomonadati; Verrucomicrobiota; Pedosphaerae; Pedosphaerales; Pedosphaeraceae
Also listed under: 1 other name
Description: tRNA-Thr
Rfam family: tRNA
About the family: Transfer RNA (tRNA) molecules are approximately 80 nucleotides in length.
Source: RNAcentral
GCCAGUGUAGCUCAGUUGGUAGAGCAAUUGUUUCGUAAACAAUAGGUCACCGGUUCAAGUCCGGUCACUGGCUCCA